Acanthochromis polyacanthus (spiny chromis) is the source of this 607-nucleotide long non-coding RNA. RefSeq lists it as uncharacterized. The record is from RefSeq and is a predicted model, not a curated record. Lineage: Eukaryota; Metazoa; Chordata; Actinopteri; Pomacentridae. The transcript has 3 exons.
CCGUAUCCCAAAAGUUGGUCAGUUCUUCUCUGACCUAGCUGGAUUCUCAGGAUUUUUUUCAAGAUCCCCCAAGAGAACCAGUGUGCUUGACAGAGUGGUGGCACACAGGCUUCCAAGAGCAAGCACAGUAAGGUGGAACUUCCACAGCCGUGCUGUCAACACUGUUGAGCACAAAGACGACCUCCUUCAGUGCUUCGAAACCAUCAGGGACUCAGGUGACUUUGAUCCUACCACUGUCCGUGAAGCUGGAGGUUUUGUGAGACUCCUGGAGGAUGCUACCUUCUGCUUCUUCCUGGAGCUUUUCCACCGCAUCAUGCCUCAUGUGGACAUGCUCUACAGCCAACUCCAGAAGAGGUCCAUCGAUUCGGUCUUUGUCCACAGAGUGACGCAGCAUUUCACCGACAACAUGCAGAUGAUCAGAGACUCCCUCCCUACUGUCAGUGAAGAACAUCACAGCUGUUGUGCCUCAGCAGCAGCUGGCCAAGAAGCGCCGCACACUGGGACCAGAUGAACUACAGAGGAUAGCUACAGAGGUUUGUGACACAAUCCUGGGCCAUGCAAAAGAGAGGUUUGCCUUCACCAAACACCUAAUCAGUGCUACACUGCC